AUUGAACGCUGGCGGCAUGCCUUACACAUGCAAGUCGAACGGUAACAGGUUAAGCUGACGAGUGGCGAACGGGUGAGUAAUAUAUCGGAACGUGCCCAGUCGUGGGGGAUAACGUAGCGAAAGCUACGCUAAUACCGCAUACGAUCUACGGAUGAAAGCGGGGGAUCGCAAGACCUCGCGCGAUUGGAGCGGCCGAUAUCAGAUUAGCUAGUUGGUGGGGUAAAAGCUCACCAAGGCGACGAUCUGUAGCUGGGCUGAGAGGACGACCAGCCACACUGGAACUGGGACACGGUCCAGACUCCUACGGGAGGCAGCAGUGGGGAAUUUUGGACAAUGGGCGCAAGCCUGAUCCAGCAAUGCCGCGUGCAGGAUGAAGGCCUUCGGGUUGUAAACUGCUUUUGUACGGAACGAAACGGCGAGCUCUAAUACAGUUUGCUAAUGACGGUACCGUAAGAAUAAGCACCGGCUAACUACGUGCCAGCAGCCGCCGUAA
This 493-nucleotide ribosomal RNA is filed under the name uncultured bacterium. Its description in RNAcentral is "partial 16S ribosomal RNA". It matches the Rfam family "Bacterial small subunit ribosomal RNA", at positions 30 to 523 of the family's 1533-position model. The record is from RNAcentral.